RNAcentral lists this ribosomal RNA (203 nucleotides) under Stutzerimonas stutzeri. Its description in RNAcentral is "partial 16S ribosomal RNA". It matches the Rfam family "Bacterial small subunit ribosomal RNA", at positions 333 to 528 of the family's 1533-position model. Lineage: Bacteria; Pseudomonadati; Pseudomonadota; Gammaproteobacteria; Pseudomonadales; Pseudomonadaceae. The record is from RNAcentral.
UUACUCCUACGGGAGGCAGCAGUGGGGAAUAUUGGACAAUGGGCGAAAGCCUGAUCCAGCCAUGCCGCGUGUGUGAAGAAGGUCUUCGGAUUGUAAAGCACUUUAAGUUGGGAGGAAGGGCAGUAAGUUAAUACCUUGCUGUUUUGACGUUACCGACAGAAUAAGCACCGGCUAACUUCGUGCCAGCAGCCGCGGUAAUUAAA